AUAUAUAUAUAUAUAUAUAUAUAUAUAUACAUAUAUAUAUAUAUAUAUAUAUAUAUAUACUCAACUGCAUGGUGGAUCACAGACACAGGGUCAGCGUGCUCUUUUAAAUCUUAAGCUCGAAUAAAAGUAUGGAAUUUCUGCAACAACAAAAAAUCUUUUCAAAAGGAAAAUAAAGGGACUAAUGGGGCGAGCCAACAUGUCUUUAUUCACAUCUGUCAUUUCCUCAGAAAACAUGAG
Paramuricea clavata is the source of this 237-nucleotide non-coding RNA. NCBI's taxonomy places the organism in Eukaryota, Metazoa, Cnidaria, Anthozoa, Malacalcyonacea, Plexauridae. The record is from the annotation of a GenBank genome assembly.